Molecule: ribosomal RNA, 1467 nt
Filed under: uncultured bacterium
Lineage: Bacteria
Description: bacterial SSU rRNA
Rfam family: Bacterial small subunit ribosomal RNA
Source: RNAcentral
AUUGAACGCUGGCGGCAGGCCUAACACAUGCAAGUCGAACGGUAACAGGAAGAAGCUUGCUUCUUUGCUGACGAGUGGCGGACGGGUGAGUAAUGUCUGGGAAACUGCCUGAUGGAGGGGGAUAACUACUGGAAACGGUAGCUAAUACCGCAUAACGUCGCAAGACCAAAGAGGGGGACCUUCGGGCCUCUUGCCAUCGGAUGUGCCCAGAUGGGAUUAGCUAGUAGGUGGGGUAACGGCUCACCUAGGCGACGAUCCCUAGCUGGUCUGAGAGGAUGACCAGCCACACUGGAACUGAGACACGGUCCAGACUCCUACGGGAGGCAGCAGUGGGGAAUAUUGCACAAUGGGCGCAAGCCUGAUGCAGCCAUGCCGCGUGUAUGAAGAAGGCCUUCGGGUUGUAAAGUACUUUCAGCGGGGAGGAAGGGAGUAAAGUUAAUACCUUUGCUCAUUGACGUCACCCGCAGAAGAAGCACCGGCUAACUCCGUGCCAGCAGCCGCGGUAAUACGGAGGGUGCAAGCGUUAAUCGGAAUUACUGGGCGUAAAGCGCACGCAGGCGGUUUGUUAAGUCAGAUGUGAAAUCCCCGGGCUCAACCUGGGAACUGCAUCUGAUACUGGCAAGCUUGAGUCUCGUAGAGGGGGGUAGAAUUCCAGGUGUAGCGGUGAAAUGCGUAGAGAUCUGGAGGAAUACCGGUGGCGAAGGCGGCCCCCUGGACGAAGACUGACGCUCAGGUGCGAAAGCGUGGGGGGCAAACAGGAUUAGAUACCCUGGUAGUCCACGCCGUAAACGAUGUCGACUUGGAGGUUGUGCCCUUGAGGCGUGGCUUCCGGAGCUAACGCGUUAAGUCGACCGCCUGGGGAGUACGGCCGCAAGGUUAAAACUCAAAUGAAUUGACGGGGGCCCGCACAAGCGGUGGAGCAUGUGGUUUAAUUCGAUGCAACGCGAAGAACCUUACCUGGUCUUGACAUCCACGGAAGUUUUCAGAGAUGAGAAUGUGCCUUCGGGAACCGUGAGACAGGUGCUGCAUGGCUGUCGUCAGCUCGUGUUGUGAAAUGUUGGGUUAAGUCCCGCAACGAGCGCAACCCUUAUCCUUUGUUGCCAGCGGUCCGGCCGGGAACUCAAAGGAGACUGCCAGUGAUAAACUGGAGGAAGGUGGGGAUGACGUCAAGUCAUCAUGGCCCUUACGACCAGGGCUACACACGUGCUACAAUGGCGCAUACAAAGAGAAGCGACCUCGCGAGAGCAAGCGGACCUCAUAAAGUGCGUCGUAGUCCGGAUUGGAGUCUGCAACUCGACUCCAUGAAGUCGGAAUCGCUAGUAAUCGUGGAUCAGAAUGCCACGGUGAAUACGUUCCCGGGCCUUGUACACACCGCCCGUCACACCAUGGGAGUGGGUUGCAAAAGAAGUAGGUAGCUUAACCUUCGGGAGGGCGCUUACCACUUUGUGAUUCAUGACUGGGGUGAAG